AGUGAACGCUGGCGGUAGGCCUAACACAUGCAAGUCGAACGGCAGCACAGUAAGAGCUUGCUCUUACGGGUGGCGAGUGGCGGACGGGUGAGGAAUACAUCGGAAUCUACUUUUUCGUGGGGGAUAACGUAGGGAAACUUACGCUAAUACCGCAUACGGCCUACGGGUGAAAGCAGGGGAUCUUCGGACCUUGCGCGAUUGAAUGAGCCGAUGUCGGAUUAGCUAGUUGGCGGGGUAAAGGCCCACCAAGGCGACGAUCCGUAGCUGGUCUGAGAGGAUGAUCAGCCACACUGGAACUGAGACACGGUCCAGACUCCUACGGGAGGCAGCAGUGGGGAAUAUUGGACAAUGGGCGCAAGCCUAAUCCAGCCAUACCGCGUGGGUGAAGAAGGCCUUCGGGUUGUAAAGCCCUUUUGUUGGGAAAGAAAAGCAGCAGGUUAAUACCCCGCUGUUCUGACGGUACCCAAAGAAUAAGCACCGGCUAACUUCGUG
This 492-nucleotide ribosomal RNA is filed under the name uncultured bacterium. RNAcentral describes it as "partial 16S ribosomal RNA". It matches the Rfam family "Bacterial small subunit ribosomal RNA", at positions 29 to 507 of the family's 1533-position model. The record is from RNAcentral.